AAGGGAGACCUAAUUCCGGUAGGAGACGAAAAAAAAGUAGUCCCUACCAAGAAUCAAUCCCAAAAGGUCGAAGCGAGGCAAGAUUGGCUUUCAAACUAGGUUCUGGGUUCAAACAAGACCUGAAUCAGGAACAAGGGCUAUUAGCUCAGGUGGUUAGAGCGCACCCCUGAUAAGGGUGAGGUCCCUGGUUCGAGUCCAGGAUGGUCCACCUGCACAGGUGGCAAAAACAAAGAAGCGAGGAAUCAGCACCUUAUCUUACUCAUAUAGUAAGAGAGAAUGCUGGCUCUGAGUAAAGAGUCCAGAGGAACCUUGAAAACUGCAUAGAGCUAGGUGAAAAAGCCAAAAAAGAAGACCGCAA
Molecule: transfer RNA, 358 nt
Filed under: uncultured Microcystis sp.
Lineage: Bacteria; Bacillati; Cyanobacteriota; Cyanophyceae; Chroococcales; Microcystaceae
Description: partial 16S-23S ribosomal RNA intergenic spacer
Rfam family: tRNA (bases 135-208)
Source: RNAcentral